Long non-coding RNA from Esox lucius (northern pike), 672 nucleotides. RefSeq lists it as uncharacterized. The transcript is spliced from 2 exons. The record is from RefSeq and is a predicted model, not a curated record. NCBI's taxonomy places the organism in Eukaryota, Metazoa, Chordata, Actinopteri, Esociformes, Esocidae.
AGGCUACAGCAAUCAAUACACUCCUAAUUAAGUAUGGGUGUGAGUGAAGUGCCCCAAACUUACAGGGGUGUGUGUAUAUAUAUAUACCCUGUCCCACAUGGGACUCACACACAUACACCACGACCACACCAGAUACUGGCACCACAGACAACUUCACACAGAUAUGUUCUCAAAUUCUCCAGCUCUCUACCAGACGUAGAUGGGUACGUUCACUAACCUGCUCAUCUGCAUUCUGAGUAAAACAUUUAUAACUAAUGUAAAGGAGUCAAGGAUUGAAAUGCUGUUGCUCUUUUUGUCAACAACACGGACCAUAGAGAUGAGACAGACACCGGACCCAGAUAAAGAAGACUACGAAACUGGGAUAGAAAAAGCAUUGAAUAAAACAAGAUGGCUGCAUCAGGUCUUAUUCAGCCAGGGGCUGUGUGAUAUGUUUGAUAUUCGGUUGUUCUCCUGUGUAAUCACAUCAACUAAAUAUCAGACAUAUUCCUACAGAGCCUGGCACACAUCUUCAGAGCCUUGGAUACUUCACAGACUACUGGCCAAUCCACUCAAAUGAUCGUGGGGUUUGUACUGUUUGUAAAUCAUGAAUCAAGAAACAAUUACAUGUAAUUCUUUAUUAAUACCUGUAAAUUUACCGUACAUUAAAAAGCUCUCUACUUAGACAAGCAUUGA